CUGGAAUCUUCAGGUUUCUCUGGUCUUUUGUCCAAACAUCUGUAUGUUCUUUGCCUUCAUGCUUUGGGGCUUUACUGAAGGAUCUCUGCAUGAGACUGUCACCUGCUGUGCUCUUUAUAUUCUGAGGCCUGUUAUGUUGAUUUGGGCUUUGCGCUAUUUGAAGUAUCUUCAAGACAAUCAUAAAUCAUGGAUUAGGUUUUUCAGAAUAACACAUGAACUUACUGUUCUUACAGUCAUUGUUUAUUCAGACCUGUCCAGAAUUCAGCCAUUAAAUCAUACCGCACCCCCUCUCUAAAAUCCUGUAAACAUGAACCCUGAAGUCAGCAACCCUGAUUACUCAAACUGACUGAAAGACAGACAGUGCUUACAAGUGUCUAGUAUAUUCUUCAUUUCAAAAUAAUAAGAUUACAUCCUUUUAUAAUUUAUACUUUAUUGUAUGUAUACUGUUGCCCU
This 453-nucleotide long non-coding RNA is filed under the name Sinocyclocheilus anshuiensis. RNAcentral describes it as "lncRNA (ENSSANG00000000375.1)". The record is from RNAcentral. Lineage: Eukaryota; Metazoa; Chordata; Actinopteri; Cypriniformes; Cyprinidae.